GUGAAUGUCGUCUGCCGGACAAUUAAUUACCGGCGGGUGAAUUUACUCGCCGACUGCGACACGCUGGCCCUCGACUGCAAGGCCUUCAUUUGACCACCUGCUCCGGUCCGGUGACUUGGCUGCCGGCUGGCCAGCGAGGGAUCGACAGGGAAAUUCUGCGCAUCCAUUCAAGCGAUGACACCAAAUUAACUGUGCUGUACUUCACUCAUAACCCGAGGGCACAAGCUGUACAUGUUCAUUCAUUCGCGCAGUC
Molecule: long non-coding RNA, 253 nt
Filed under: Hordeum vulgare
Lineage: Eukaryota; Viridiplantae; Streptophyta; Magnoliopsida; Poales; Poaceae
Description: long non-coding RNA (HVUL_LNC006620)
Source: RNAcentral